CGAAGCGUGACUAUGCUUGUAGCAGGCCUCUGGCCGAACUUCUUGGACGCGGGUUCGAUUCCCGCCAUCUCCACAC
Molecule: transfer-messenger RNA, 76 nt
Filed under: Chloroflexota bacterium
Lineage: Bacteria; Bacillati; Chloroflexota
Description: Chloroflexi bacterium (oil production facility metagenome) partial transfer-messenger RNA
Rfam family: transfer-messenger RNA
About the family: Bacterial tmRNA, also known as 10Sa RNA or SsrA, is named for its dual tRNA and mRNA-like properties. Its role is to liberate the mRNA from a stalled ribosome.
Source: RNAcentral